CCUACGGGUGGCUGCCGUGAGGAAUCUUGCGCAAUGGGGGAAACCCUGACGCAGCAACGCCGCGUGAGUGAAGAAGGCCUUCGGGUCGUAAAGCUCUGUCGGGUGGGAAGAAACAUAUAUAGGCGAAUAACCUGUAUAUUUGACGGUACCGCCAAAGGAAGCACCGGCUAACUCCGUGCCAGCAGCCGCGGUAAUACGGGGGGUGCAAGCGUUGUUCGGAAUGAUUGGGCGUAAAGAGCGUGUAGGCGGCGUGAUAAGUCAGAUGUGAAAUCCCUGGGCUCAACCCAGGAAGUGCAUUUGAAACUGUCGUGCUUGAGUACGGGUGAGGGAAGAGGAAUGCCUGGCGUAGAGGUGAAAUUCGUAGAUAUCAGGAGGAACACCGGUGGCGAAGGCGACUUCCUGGCCCGAUACUGACGCUGAGACGCGAGAGCGUGGGGAGCAAACA
Molecule: ribosomal RNA, 445 nt
Filed under: uncultured prokaryote
Description: bacterial SSU rRNA
Rfam family: Bacterial small subunit ribosomal RNA
Source: RNAcentral